UACGAAGGGGGCUAGCGUUGUUCGGAUUUACUGGGCGUAAAGCGCACGUAGGCGGAUCGUUAAGUCAGGGGUGAAAUCCUGGAGCUCAACUCCAGAACUGCCUUUGAUACUGGCGAUCUUGAGUCCGGAAGAGGUGAGUGGAACUCCUAGUGUAGAGGUGGAAUUCGUAGAUAUUCGGAGGAACACCAGUGGCGAAGGCGGCUCACUGGUCCGGUACUGACGCUGAGGUGCGAAAGCGUGGGGAGCAAACAGG
This 253-nucleotide ribosomal RNA is filed under the name uncultured bacterium. RNAcentral describes it as "partial 16S ribosomal RNA". It matches the Rfam family "Bacterial small subunit ribosomal RNA", at positions 524 to 776 of the family's 1533-position model. The record is from RNAcentral.